This 301-nucleotide ribosomal RNA is filed under the name uncultured bacterium. RNAcentral's name for it is "partial 16S ribosomal RNA". It matches the Rfam family "Bacterial small subunit ribosomal RNA", at positions 509 to 807 of the family's 1533-position model. The record is from RNAcentral.
CAGUCGCCGCGGGAAUACGUAGGGUGCAAGCGUUAAUCGGAAUUACUGGGCGUAAAGCGUGCGCAGGCGGUUAUAUAAGUCAGAUGUGAAAUCCCCGGGCUCAACCUGGGACCUGCAUAUGUGACUGUAUAGCUAGAGUACGGUAGAGGGGGAUGGAAUUCCGCGUGUAGCAGUGAAAUACGUAGAUAUGCGGAGGAACACCGAUGGCGAAGGCAAUCCCCUGGACCUGUACUGACGCUCAUGCACGAAAGCGUGGGGAGCAAACAGGAUUAGAUACCCCUGUAGUCCCUGUCUCUUAUAC